CAAUGAGAAAGCAAGUCAGCCUUCGAAAAGAGUCUUUCUGGAAGAAGCAGCUUCCUGGGAAACGGACUCUCUAAACUAGGUCUGGUGGGGGUUCCCAGCCCCAGGAGGUGGAGUGGCCACUGGAUGGAAGAACCUGAUGACUCGAAUGCAGCAGAUCCUGUCUGACAACCCGCAUGGGAUUAUGACACGAACAAGGAAUAAAUCUUUAUCGUGCUGAA
Lemur catta (Ring-tailed lemur) is the source of this 218-nucleotide long non-coding RNA. RefSeq lists it as uncharacterized. The record is from RefSeq and is a predicted model, not a curated record. The transcript is spliced from 2 exons. Lineage: Eukaryota; Metazoa; Chordata; Mammalia; Primates; Lemuridae.